This 71-nucleotide transfer RNA is filed under the name Candidozyma auris. Its description in RNAcentral is "[Candida] auris tRNA-Ile". The record is from RNAcentral. Lineage: Eukaryota; Fungi; Ascomycota; Pichiomycetes; Serinales; Metschnikowiaceae.
GUAACUCGGUGAUUAUUUAGUACGUCACAUAAAGAUAUAGCAAUAUUAUAUUUAGGAUAUGGUAUGAUAUC